GGGAAUAUUGCACAAUGGGCGCAAGCCUGAUGCAGCAACGCCGCGUGAGGGACGAAGGCCUUCGGGUUGUAAACCUCUUUUAGCAGGGAAGAAGCGAGAGUGACGGUACCUGCAGAAAAAGUACCGGCUAACUACGUGCCAGCAGCCGCGGUAAUACGUAGGGUGCAAGCGUUGUCCGGAAUUAUUGUGCGUAAAGAGCUCGUAGGCGGUUUGUCACGUCUGCUGUGAAAGCCCGAGGCUCAACCUCGGGCUUGCAGUGGGUACGGGCAGACUAGAGUGCGGUAGGGGAGAUUGGAAUUCCUGGUGUAGCGGUGGAAUGCGCAGAUAUCAGGAGGAACACCGAUGGCGAAGGCAGAUCUCUGGGCCGUAACUGACGCUGAGGAGCGAAAGCAUGGGGAGCAAACAGGC
Molecule: ribosomal RNA, 408 nt
Filed under: uncultured bacterium
Lineage: Bacteria
Description: bacterial SSU rRNA
Rfam family: Bacterial small subunit ribosomal RNA
Source: RNAcentral